UACGGAGGAGGCAAGCGUUAUCCGGAAUUAUUGGGCGUAAAGCGUCCGCAGGUGGCACCUCAAGUCUGCUGUCAAAGACCGGGGCUUAACCCAGAAAGGCAGUGGAAACUGAAGUGCUAGAGUGCAGUAGGGGUAAAGGGAAUUUCCAGUGGAGCGGUGAAAUGCGUAGAGAUUGGAAAGAACACCGAUGGCGAAGGCACUUUACUGGGCUAUUACUAACACUCAGAGACGAAAGCUAGGGUAGCAAAUGGG
Molecule: ribosomal RNA, 252 nt
Filed under: uncultured bacterium
Lineage: Bacteria
Description: partial 16S ribosomal RNA
Rfam family: Bacterial small subunit ribosomal RNA
Source: RNAcentral